This 258-nucleotide ribosomal RNA is filed under the name uncultured bacterium. RNAcentral's name for it is "partial 16S ribosomal RNA". It matches the Rfam family "Bacterial small subunit ribosomal RNA", at positions 524 to 776 of the family's 1533-position model. The record is from RNAcentral.
UACGUAGGGUGCAAGCGUUGUCCGGAAUUAUUGGGCGUAAAGAGCUCGUAGGCGGUCUGUCGCGUCUGCUGUGAAAACUCGGGGCUUAACCCCGGGCCUGCAGUGGGUACGGGCAGACUAGAGUGCGGUAGGGGAGACUGGAAUUCCGUGGUGUAGCGGUGAAAUGCGCAGAUAUCAGGAGGAACACCGGUGGCGAAGGCGGGUCUCUGGGCCGGUAAACUGACGCUGGAGGAGCGAAAGCCGUGGGGAGCGAACAGG